GCCGCUCUAGCCCAAUUGGAAGAUGGCGCUGGCCUCAAACCCCAGAUGUUCUGGGUUCGACUCCCAGGAGCGGUACCA
This 78-nucleotide transfer RNA is filed under the name Candidatus Bathyarchaeota archaeon. RNAcentral describes it as "tRNA-Leu". It matches the Rfam family "tRNA". From Rfam's summary of the family: Transfer RNA (tRNA) molecules are approximately 80 nucleotides in length. Their secondary structure includes four short double-helical elements and three loops (D, anti-codon, and T loops). The record is from RNAcentral. Lineage: Archaea; Thermoproteati; Candidatus Bathyarchaeota.